CCUACGGGUGGCAGCAGUGGGGAAUAUUGCACAAUGGGGGAAACCCUGAUGCAGCAACGCCGCGUGAGUGAUGACGGCCUUCUGAUUGUAAAGCUCUUUCUUCAGGGACGAUAAUGACGGUACCUGAGGAUGAAGCCACGGCUCACUACGUUCCAGCAGCCGCGGUAAUACGUAGGUGGCGAGCGUUGUCCGGAUUUACUGGGCGUAAAGGGAGCGUAGGCGGAUUUUUAAGUGAGAUGUGAAAUACUCGGGCUCAACUUGAGUGCUGCAUUUCAAACUGUGAGGCUAGAGAGUAGGUGCGGAGAACGGAAUGCAUAGUGUAGCGGUGAAAUGCGUAGAGAUUAGGCAGAACACCAGUGGCGAAGGCGAUUCUCUGGACUGUAACUGACGCUGAGGCUCGAAAGCGUGGGGAGCAAACAGGAUUAGAUACCCCUGUAGUC
This 440-nucleotide ribosomal RNA is filed under the name uncultured bacterium. RNAcentral's name for it is "partial 16S ribosomal RNA". It matches the Rfam family "Bacterial small subunit ribosomal RNA", at positions 338 to 795 of the family's 1533-position model. The record is from RNAcentral.